Lycium barbarum (goji berry) is the source of this 1032-nucleotide long non-coding RNA. RefSeq lists it as uncharacterized. The record is from RefSeq and is a predicted model, not a curated record. The transcript is spliced from 3 exons. NCBI's taxonomy places the organism in Eukaryota, Viridiplantae, Streptophyta, Magnoliopsida, Solanales, Solanaceae.
AUUUAUGAUAAGUUAAGGACAAAAUUAUUUUGGGAUACAAAGUCGGGAUUCUUGACCUUCGAAUUUAUUUUGAGAUAUAAGUUGUGCAUGAAUUUAUUGGUAUGGAACAAUUAGGAAAAUUUGGGACCAAAGGUGAUAAAAUUUGAAGUGGAAAGUCAUCCACAAAUUCCAUGUGGUGCCCACACAACUUUGUGUCAUCUUCUAAGUGGAACAACUCAUUAUGUGGGCCAAGGCACCCUUGACUAAGUCUUGCAUUGUUAAAAAGAUGACCACUUCAUUUCACUUCACUCCAACUCUUAAAAAAAAGAAGGAAUUGAAGAGCACCACAAUAAGGGGGCUCUCGGCCAGCCCAAGGAAAAAUCCACCCCCAUUUCUUGCUCUUCCAAAAUUAUUUCCUUGGUACAAACCCACUAUUUUGAGGUCCCUAAGUAGCGUGGGAGUGUCGUUGGAGCGAUCAACCCAUUAUUUUUCAUCCAUUGGAAACCCUAGCAUUUUGUGGAAUUGAAGAGGAUAGAUCGUGGGCAGCCCGAAUCAUAGGUUGGAUUUAGCUUGAGUUUGGAUCGUAUUGGAGAGCGUUUGAGGUACGGACGCACAGCCUGGUGAUCCACCUGUUUAGGACACCCUUUCUGCUAUUCGGAGUGCUCCUCUCUUUCCGGAGCUUAUACUUUUGGUAUAUAUAUUUAUUAGUGCAUUUGUAUAUAUUCGUUCAUGGGUACGGCGGGGCCCUGUCCCGUCAUAUGAUUCUGUCGGUCUGUUUAGAGGUCUGUGGACAUGUUUGUGGGUUAGGGUCUUUCUGUAUGGAUGUAUGUACAUGUCGUUUGGGCGAUCCCAUACACCGAGGCGGCCGGUCCGCAUAUGUUUAUAUAUUGCUUGGUUAGCCCUGUGUGGCUUUUGUUGGUAUUUUCUGCGUGCAGGGUAUAUUGGAUAGUCCGUAAAACAAAGGAAACUCUGCCGAAAUUUUUCUGGAAAUUACCUAAAUUUGAAAUAAAGCCUUGUCGGCUUCCGCCAUAUACUAGAAUGAGUUGAUAGAAU